RNAcentral lists this ribosomal RNA (2898 nucleotides) under Neisseria gonorrhoeae. RNAcentral's name for it is "bacterial LSU rRNA". It matches the Rfam family "Bacterial large subunit ribosomal RNA". Lineage: Bacteria; Pseudomonadati; Pseudomonadota; Betaproteobacteria; Neisseriales; Neisseriaceae. RNAcentral also lists the same sequence under 2 other names. The record is from RNAcentral.
AUAGGGUCAAGUGAAUAAGUGCAUCAGGCGGAUGCCUUGGCGAUGAUAGGCGACGAAGGACGUGUAAGCCUGCGAAAAGCGCGGGGGAGCUGGCAAUAAAGCUAUGAUUCCGCGAUGUCCGAAUGGGGAAACCCACUGCAUUCUGUGCAGUAUCCUAAGUUGAAUACAUAGGCUUAGAGAAGCGAACCCGGAGAACUGAACCAUCUAAGUACCCGGAGGAAAAGAAAUCAACCGAGAUUCCGCAAGUAGUGGCGAGCGAACGCGGAGGAGCCUGUACGUAAUAACUGUCGAGAUAGAAGAACAAGCUGGGAAGCUUGACCAUAGCGGGUGACAGUCCCGUAUUCGAAAUCUCAACAGCGGUACUAAGCGUACGAAAAGUAGGGCGGGACACGUGAAAUCCUGUCUGAAUAUGGGGGGACCAUCCUCCAAGGCUAAAUACUCAUCAUCGACCGAUAGUGAACCAGUACCGUGAGGGAAAGGCGAAAAGAACCCCGGGAGGGGAGUGAAACAGAACCUGAAACCUGAUGCAUACAAACAGUGGGAGCGCCCUAGUGGUGUGACUGCGUACCUUUUGUAUAAUGGGUCAACGACUUACAUUCAGUAGCGAGCUUAACCGGAUAGGGGAGGCGUAGGGAAACCGAGUCUUAAUAGGGCGAUGAGUUGCUGGGUGUAGACCCGAAACCGAGUGAUCUAUCCAUGGUCAGGUUGAAGGUGCCGUAACAGGUACUGGAGGACCGAACCCACGCAUGUUGCAAAAUGCGGGGAUGAGCUGUGGGUAGGGGUGAAAGGCUAAACAAACUCGGAGAUAGCUGGUUCUCCCCGAAAACUAUUUAGGUAGUGCCUCGAGCAAGACACUGAUGGGGGUAAAGCACUGUUAUGGCUAGGGGGUUAUUGCAACUUACCAACCCAUGGCAAACUCAGAAUACCAUCAAGUGGUUCCUCGGGAGACAGACAGCGGGUGCUAACGUCCGUUGUCAAGAGGGAAACAACCCAGACCGCCGGCUAAGGUCCCAAAUGAUAGAUUAAGUGGUAAACGAAGUGGGAAGGCACAGACAGCCAGGAUGUUGGCUUAGAAGCAGCCAUCAUUUAAAGAAAGCGUAAUAGCUCACUGGUCGAGUCGUCCUGCGCGGAAGAUGUAACGGGGCUCAAAUCUAUAACCGAAGCUGCGGAUGCCGGUUUACCGGCAUGGUAGGGGAGCGUUCUGUAGGCUGAUGAAGGUGCAUUGUAAAGUGUGCUGGAGGUAUCAGAAGUGCGAAUGUUGACAUGAGUAGCGAUAAAGCGGGUGAAAAGCCCGCUCGCCGAAAGCCCAAGGUUUCCUACGCAACGUUCAUCGGCGUAGGGUAAGUCGGCCCCUAAGGCGAGGCAGAAAUGCGUAGUCGAUGGGAAACAGGUUAAUAUUCCUGUACUUGAUUCAAAUGCGAUGUGGGGACGGAGAAGGUUAGGUUGGCAAGCUGUUGGAAUAGCUUGUUUAAGCCGGUAGGUGGAAGACUUAGGCAAAUCCGGGUUUUCUUAACACCGAGAAGUGAUGACGAGUGUCUACGGACACGAAGCAACCGAUACCACGCUUCCAGGAAAAGCCACUAAGCUUCAGUUUGAAUCGAACCGUACCGCAAACCGACACAGGUGGGCAGGAUGAGAAUUCUAAGGCGCUUGAGAGAACUCGGGAGAAGGAACUCGGCAAAUUGAUACCGUAACUUCGGGAGAAGGUAUGCCCUCUAAGGUUAAGGACUUGCUCCGUAAGCCCCGGAGGGUCGCAGAGAAUAGGUGGCUGCGACUGUUUAUUAAAAACACAGCACUCUGCCAACACGAAAGUGGACGUAUAGGGUGUGACGCCUGCCCGGUGCCGGAAGGUUAAUUGAAGAUGUGCAAGCAUCGGAUCGAAGCCCCGGUAAACGGCGGCCGUAACUAUAACGGUCCUAAGGUAGCGAAAUUCCUUGUCGGGUAAGUUCCGACCCGCACGAAUGGCGUAACGAUGGCCACACUGUCUCCUCCCGAGACUCAGCGAAGUUGAAGUGGUUGUGAAGAUGCAAUCUACCCGCUGCUAGACGGAAAGACCCCGUGAACCUUUACUGUAGCUUUGCAUUGGACUUUGAAGUCACUUGUGUAGGAUAGGUGGGAGGCUUGGAAGCAGAGACGCCAGUCUCUGUGGAGUCGUCCUUGAAAUACCACCCUGGUGUCUUUGAGGUUCUAACCCAGACCCGUCAUCCGGGUCGGGGACCGUGCAUGGUAGGCAGUUUGACUGGGGCGGUCUCCUCCCAAAGCGUAACGGAGGAGUUCGAAGGUUACCUAGGUCCGGUCGGAAAUCGGACUGAUAGUGCAAUGGCAAAAGGUAGCUUAACUGCGAGACCGACAAGUCGGGCAGGUGCGAAAGCAGGACAUAGUGAUCCGGUGGUUCUGUAUGGAAGGGCCAUCGCUCAACGGAUAAAAGGUACUCCGGGGAUAACAGGCUGAUUCCGCCCAAGAGUUCAUAUCGACGGCGGAGUUUGGCACCUCGAUGUCGGCUCAUCACAUCCUGGGGCUGUAGUCGGUCCCAAGGGUAUGGCUGUUCGCCAUUUAAAGUGGUACGUGAGCUGGGUUUAAAACGUCGUGAGACAGUUUGGUCCCUAUCUGCAGUGGGCGUUGGAAGUUUGACGGGGGCUGCUCCUAGUACGAGAGGACCGGAGUGGACGAACCUCUGGUGUACCGGUUGUAACGCCAGUUGCAUAGCCGGGUAGCUAAGUUCGGAAGAGAUAAGCGCUGAAAGCAUCUAAGCGCGAAACUCGCCUGAAGAUGAGACUUCCCUUGCGGUUUAACCGCACUAAAGGGUCGUUCGAGACCAGGACGUUGAUAGGUGGGGUGUGGAAGCGCGGUAACGCGUGAAGCUAACCCAUACUAAUUGCCCGUGAGGCUUGACUCUAU